GGAACCUGCGGAAGGA
RNAcentral lists this ribosomal RNA (16 nucleotides) under Lasiodiplodia viticola. RNAcentral describes it as "partial 18S ribosomal RNA". The record is from RNAcentral. Lineage: Eukaryota; Fungi; Ascomycota; Dothideomycetes; Botryosphaeriales; Botryosphaeriaceae.